RNAcentral lists this ribosomal RNA (38 nucleotides) under Wallemia sebi. RNAcentral describes it as "partial 28S ribosomal RNA". Lineage: Eukaryota; Fungi; Basidiomycota; Wallemiomycetes; Wallemiales; Wallemiaceae. The record is from RNAcentral.
UCGACCUCAAAUCAGAUGGGAUUACCCGCUGAACUUAA